This is a non-coding RNA of Camellia sinensis, 897 nucleotides long. Lineage: Eukaryota; Viridiplantae; Streptophyta; Magnoliopsida; Ericales; Theaceae. The record is from RefSeq and is a predicted model, not a curated record.
CCCUUGAGCACAAUACUCCGAGCUCUAUACCUCCAUAACAUUAUCAGAUAACUCAGAUGUGCUUUUGAUCUUCUUAGUGCUACGAACCAGGUGAUCUUUCUCUUCUCUGGAGCAACCAUGGUCAUGCUGGGCCUCUCCAGAGCUCAGGAUCUCACUAACGAUCAUAUUUGCUCUGGUUGAGAUAUAUACUUUAAGUUUUCAUAUUUGCGCGCUAUUUCGUUUUCAAGUUUCCAAAUCUCUCUCUCCCUCUCUCUCUCAAUCUUUUUGUGUGUGUGUGUGUGUGUGGUGUCUUAACCUGUGCAAGUGGAACUAAUGUACGCUAUGGGGGUUAGAGAAAUGCAACCUGAAGAACCCUACGGUGAAGAAAAUACUACAAGAGUUGGAAGAGAUGGAAGACAACACUUCCGAUGAUUUUCGUGAGCCUCCAUCUAGAGUUUUAGCCAAAUUUUCGUCUUGAAACAGAAACCAAGAGUUGCAGAAGCAUAUCAAAUCAUCAUCUUGAACAUUGGCAACCAACCAUCAUGGAGUGAUAUUAAUUACUUUUCUCAAUAAUGGAAGAGGAGCCUGCAACUGACACAGAUUCGCCAAUGUAUGCUGAGGAAGAUGACAUUCUGUGAACCGAGCCGAGCCCAUUCGCCAAUAGCUCAUUCAUCUCACGAGAAUUGAGAAUUCAUGGCUACUGAAACAAAUGCUCAAACGAGUAUUGGAAUGGUGGCUGCAAUUGCGACAACCCCCUCUCCUGUUGUAACAGUAUUGGUAAAUCACAGUGAGAAGCCGGACAAGUUCUCAGGAACUGAUUUUAAAAGAUGGCAACAGAAAAUGUUGCCCUAUCUUACAACUCUAAACCUGGCUCGUUUUCUCCGUGAAAAUGCUCCUACUCUGAAUAAGGAUGAAACU